Molecule: long non-coding RNA, 479 nt
Organism: Mastomys coucha (southern multimammate mouse)
Lineage: Eukaryota; Metazoa; Chordata; Mammalia; Rodentia; Muridae
Exons: 3
Source: RefSeq, a predicted model, not a curated record
CGGAGAGGUGUGCAGUAUUGCCCCCACGCUUCUUAUUUUACCCAGUGACAGUUGCAGCCUGAAAAACAAAGAAUGCUACUAAAAUAUCAGCAUUGCGUCACCACCCUCGCUCCCAUUGGCCGCCUUCAAGGAGUCAGAAGGGUCUGUUUCUGACCAGCCGCUGAAAUCUUCAUAGACCUAGGGAUUCGCAUCUUUCCAUCACAAACAAAACAUCCCGGGAGCUCAUUUUUCAUCCGGAAGCUCGGUGCUGCUCCAUUAUCAUAUCACAGAGACACUGUUGAUUUUAAAACACAGGAGUGGUAAAUGACAGAGAAGGGAAUGAAGCAUAAGUUACUCUAAUGCCCCUCAAGAGACUUUUGCCCAGCAAGCUGAAUGCAUACUUCUCAACAGGACAGAAAUUAGCAUUGCAAGUCAUCGGGAUAAGACAAGGAUUCCAUGACAAUUUUUAAUCCAAAUUAAAAAUGUAUAUGGAAAUUAGA